This 502-nucleotide ribosomal RNA is filed under the name uncultured bacterium. Its description in RNAcentral is "bacterial SSU rRNA". It matches the Rfam family "Bacterial small subunit ribosomal RNA", at positions 28 to 517 of the family's 1533-position model. The record is from RNAcentral.
GAUGAACGCUAGCUACAGGCUUAACACAUGCAAGUCGAGGGGAAACGAUAUUGGAAGCUUGCUUCCGAUAGGCGUCGACCGGCGCACGGGUGAGUAACGCGUAUCCAACCUGCCCAUCACUUGGGGAUAACCUUGCGAAAGUAAGACUAAUACCCAAUGACGUCUCUAGAAGACAUCUGAAGGAGAUUAAAGAUUUAUCGGUGAUGGAUGGGGAUGCGUCUGAUUAGCUUGUUGGCGGGGUAACGGCCCACCAAGGCGACGAUCAGUAGGGGUUCUGAGAGGAGGGUCCCCCACAUUGGAACUGAGACACGGUCCAAACUCCUACGGGAGGCAGCAGUGAGGAAUAUUGGUCAAUGGACGAGAGUCUGAACCAGCCAAGUAGCGUGCAGGAUGACGGCCCUAUGGGUUGUAAACUGCUUUUAUAAGGGAAUAAAGUGAGUCUCGUGAGACUUUUUGCAUGUACCUUAUGAAUAAGGACCGGCUAAUUCCGUGCCAGCAGCCG